This 85-nucleotide transfer RNA is filed under the name Christensenellaceae bacterium. RNAcentral describes it as "tRNA-Tyr". It matches the Rfam family "tRNA". From Rfam's summary of the family: Transfer RNA (tRNA) molecules are approximately 80 nucleotides in length. Lineage: Bacteria; Bacillati; Bacillota; Clostridia; Christensenellales; Christensenellaceae. The record is from RNAcentral.
GGGAGGAUUCCCGAGUGGCCAAAGGGGGCAGACUGUAAAUCUGUUGCUAGUAGCUUCGGUGGUCCGAAUCCACCUCCUCCCACCA